UUGGCUCAGUAGCGAAGAUACAGUCGUGACAGGUACCCGUAAGCUUGCUCCCUGGUUGACGAGCGGCCCAUGGGUGAGGACUGUCUGGGAAACUGCGUGAUGGAGGGCGAUAGCUACUGAAAACCGUAGCUAAUACCGCAUAACGUCUCGAGACCAAACAGGGGGACCUUCGGGCCUCUUGCCAUCAGAUGUGCCCACAUGGAAUUACUUAGUAAGUGGGGUAAUGGCUCACCUAGGCGACAAUCCCUAUCUGGCCUGAGAGGAUGACCAGCCACCCUGGAACUGAGACACGGCCCAUACUCCUACGGAAGGCAGCAGUGGGGAAUAUUGCACAAUGGGCGCAAGCCUUAUGCAGCCAUGCCACGUGUGUGAAGAACGCCUUCGGGUUGUAAAGCACUUUCUCCGAAGAGGAAGGUGGUGAACUUAAUACGUUCAUCAAUUGACGUUACUCCCAGAAGACGCUCCGGCUAACUCCGUGCCAACAGCCGCGGUAAUACGGAGGGUGCAAGCGUUAAUCGGAAUUACUGGGCGUAAUGCGCACGCAGGCGGUUUGUUAAGUCAGAUGUGAAACCCCCGGGCUCCACCUGGGAACUGCCUUUGAAACUGGAAAGCAAGACUCUCAUAAAGGGGGAAAGAAUUCCAUGUGUAGCGCUGAAAUGCCAAAAGAUCUGGAGCAACUACGGUGGCGAAGGCGCCCUCCUGGACUAAAACUGGCGCUCAAGUGCCAAAGCGUGGAGCGCAAACAGGAUUACAUACCCUGCUAACCCACGAUUGUAACCAUGUCGAUUUGGAGGGUGUGCCCCUGACGCGUGGCUUCCGGAGUUAAACCGUUAA
Molecule: ribosomal RNA, 834 nt
Filed under: Serratia marcescens
Lineage: Bacteria; Pseudomonadati; Pseudomonadota; Gammaproteobacteria; Enterobacterales; Yersiniaceae
Description: bacterial SSU rRNA
Rfam family: Bacterial small subunit ribosomal RNA
Source: RNAcentral